CCUUGCUUCAAGUAUACUUCCCUAGAAUUCUGGCUCUCUACAAUACACUAUUGACUAAAUGGAAAGAACAAUAAUAAAAAAAUGAAAUUGAAACCUGUUCAAUUAUAAUGGCUCCAGAUCUUAAGUAAAUGGAUAUUUAAUUAUAAUAGACUGGACUGGAGGAACCAAGGGAAUCCCAGUGAUAGGAAACCAUGGCAGACUGCCACAACCACCAUAAUAACAUUAGUGUUUCUGAAGAAUUUACAGUACAAGCCAAAAGGAAGUCUACCUCCAGAGAAAGCAAAGUGGGAGAUCUACUAAGUAUCAUCAUAAAGAAGCGAAUGAACCCAUUGUCUUAAUGUUUAUAAACCCAAAGAUCCCUACUGUCAAGAUAAGAAUUACUAUUCAACAAAAACUGGAAAGCAACAUGGCAGAAACUAGGUACAGAACAACAGCUCAUGACAUAUUCCAACAUUUGCUUCAAAUGAAUAUCAUAAAUAAAUUAAAGGAACAAGG
RNAcentral lists this long non-coding RNA (495 nucleotides) under Sarcophilus harrisii (Tasmanian devil). RNAcentral's name for it is "lncRNA (ENSSHAG00000021485.1)". The record is from RNAcentral. Lineage: Eukaryota; Metazoa; Chordata; Mammalia; Dasyuromorphia; Dasyuridae.